Molecule: transfer RNA, 78 nt
Filed under: Anguilla anguilla (European eel)
Lineage: Eukaryota; Metazoa; Chordata; Actinopteri; Anguilliformes; Anguillidae
Description: tRNA-Ala
Source: RNAcentral
GGCAGGGUGGUGCAGUGGUUAGCACUAAGGAACACUCCUCGCAAGACACAGGUUUCGGGUUCGAGACCCGCCCAGCCG